Molecule: long non-coding RNA, 882 nt
Organism: Canis lupus familiaris (dog)
Lineage: Eukaryota; Metazoa; Chordata; Mammalia; Carnivora; Canidae
Exons: 5
Source: RefSeq, a predicted model, not a curated record
CACAGUGACUUUCUUCUAUUGGCUCAGGCAGUCAUGAACAAACAUGAUCUGAAGGGCCAGCAGAGGAGCUCAGGUAAAUGUAAGGAUGCAGUUCGUGAUACCAGAGUUUUUAUGGAUGGCAAUACAGUGUGGGGUACCUUCCCUGAAGGUUUCCUGCAAACAGCAAAUGUCAUCCACCUUAGAUGGAGUGGCUGGAGAUCAGAGGGUAACUGGGCCUACCAAGGAUUGCCCAAGACUGACAUCGAGUAGCUGCAUUGUGAUUGUGGUUCUCCAGCUUAUAGAUAAAGUCACCAAAAUGGUUGCCCUGCAUAUAAUUGAUACUCUGUUGAGUAUCAGUGCCCUUUGGACAGAUCAUCUCUGAAAAUACCAGACUAGAGCUCCUGCUCUGGCUAGUCAUGUGUUGGUGUUCAUCACCCAUGGUUGCUCCCCUCUGAAACAUCAUCCAAAGCAAGCAGAUGACUCAAGGCUGGAGGAGUUAUAGAACGACCUCACAGAGCAUGCAGGACUACUCUUUCCUCACCUGCUCAGUCUACUCACUUGAGUCUGACUCACAGAGCCAGAAGGAUGGAAAAUCCUUCAUCAACUUUGUUAUCUCCUACUAUUGGAAACUUCACCAUACUACUUUUGAGAAGACAUGGGAAGAUUUAGCAGCUUAUAAUUUAUAAUCCAGCCCUCAAAAUACCGGGAAAGUCUGCACAGAACAAAAAGCUGGCCUUCCCCCAAGUUAGAGUGCAUUCUCCUGCCUCAUGGCCUUCAAAUUGGACAUCUGCUCUUCCUGGUUCUAUAGCAGCCUGCCAUUCUUCAGACUCCAAUUGGGACAUGGACUCUGCAGAUUUUGGUCUUGCAACCAAUUGUUUAUAAUAAAUCUCUUUAUAUAUUUUA